UCCAUGAAAUUGACACCGCUUUGGAACAUUGUGAGAGAGCUUGCCGUCUAGUGUGGGAUGGGAAAGAGAAGUAAGAGAUGAUGACUAAUGAGCGAGGCUGAGUCCCCUACCCCAUGGACGAAGAAGAGUCAGAAGUCUUCGCAAGUUGGAGGGGCGGGUCGACGAAGAAGCAGCUGUGUGGGAAACUCAAAACUCCUCCUCCCCCACUGGAUUGGAUUUUCUAGCGUAACUAGGCAAUGAGAUGCUUUCUGGUGAUUGGGACGAAGUCUUCGGUUUCAAUUCACUGCCGUGCUUGAGCUGCAAAUUCCUUCAUUAAUUCAUCAUCUCAAACGUGCAUAUUUAGCUAUUCUUGUAUUGUAAUUCCCAUCCUCUUUUGCCCAAUUAAAUUGCAGUGAACAGUUGGCGUUUGGCUGCCUACAAAGUUCAUAUCGAUGGCGGCUGUUUCUUUCUUUCCGUUUGUGGCCUUGUAUUUCCUGUCUCAUCCCGCUGUUUCUGCUCAUUAUAACAGCAACAAUAAUACCAAGAUUAGCUGUCCCGCGUCGUUUCGCUGCGGAAAUUCCGUACAACAGCUUUAUUUUCCUUUCUCCGAUACCUCCAAUCCCCAGUGCGGGCUGUGUUCUGUGCUUUGCCCUGAUCCCGAACAUCCUGUAGGAGAAAUCACUUGCGGCAGUGAAGAAAAAUUUCCGAUAACUGACAUCUUAUCCAGGCGCAGCGGUUACGGCCGACCCAGAGUUUAGAAAACGUUCACUUGCUGGCGAUUGCAGUGGCUUCAGGAAUUUCAGCUUACCCAAUCCUCUUUCUAUUUCCUUUACUAUCCCUCAUAAUCUCACCCUCUUCAAGUGCAGGAAAAGCUCUCUACCUAGCCCUCCCGCACAUGAUGAGUAUUUCAACCACACAGGCUGUCAUGAUUUCGAUUUGUACUACAACAAGCAUCCACUAGAUGAUCAUCACGAGGUUUCUGCUUCUACCGAUUCUUUUCAUGGCUGUGACACCAUUCAGCUGCCAUUCACUCCGAGGCUAUAUAAAAGUAAAACUGAACCUGGUGAGAACGAUGACGAUCUAUUAGAACAAUUGAAAGGUACCUAUUAUAUCGACUUGCAAGCGUCCGAGGACUGUCUCAAAUGUCACAGGAGAGGAGGCCUAUGCCAGACCAUCAACCGAAGAUUUCACUGCACAGCAAAAAAAAAAGGGGCCAAACCUCAAACUGAUCCUUCCCUUAGGUAAAGAAAACCUUCUAAACUAA
Diospyros lotus (date-plum) is the source of this 1243-nucleotide long non-coding RNA. RefSeq lists it as uncharacterized. The record is from RefSeq and is a predicted model, not a curated record. The transcript has 2 exons. Lineage: Eukaryota; Viridiplantae; Streptophyta; Magnoliopsida; Ericales; Ebenaceae.